RNAcentral lists this transfer RNA (73 nucleotides) under Phrynosoma platyrhinos (Desert horned lizard). RNAcentral describes it as "tRNA-OTHER". The record is from RNAcentral. Lineage: Eukaryota; Metazoa; Chordata; Lepidosauria; Squamata; Phrynosomatidae.
AGCCAGCAUGGCACAGUGGUUUGAGCAUUGGACUAGGACUCUGGAGACCAGGAUUCGAAUCCCAGCUCGGCUA